This 710-nucleotide long non-coding RNA is filed under the name Monodelphis domestica (gray short-tailed opossum). Its description in RNAcentral is "lncRNA (ENSMODG00000047832.1)". The record is from RNAcentral. Lineage: Eukaryota; Metazoa; Chordata; Mammalia; Didelphimorphia; Didelphidae.
AUGUGCAUUUCCCUAAUCACAUUUGGAGCCUCUGGGAAAUUUCCGUUGGGUGAGGUAGUCGCUCUGUUUGUCUGUUCCAUACCCCCAACCCCCAACUCUCUCUGUCUCUGUCUCUAUCUCUGUCUGUCUCUGUCAGUCUCUGUCUCUCUCUGUCUCUGUCUCUCUGUCUCUGUCUCUGUCUCUCUCUCUCUCUCUUCUCUCUCUCUGUCUCUGUCUCUCUCUGUCUCUGUCUCUCUCUGUCUCUGUCUGUCUCUGUCUCUGUCUCUGUCUCUGUCUCUCUUUUUCUUUAAGGAGGGCGGGUUGAGCUUUCUACGGCUGCCUAAGGUGAUGGACACUCCAUAGCACUGCUCUGCUUUUACUUGGAUAUUUCCUAGAAUCCGGGAGCCUUAAUGUGUGUGUGUGUGUGUGUGUGUGUGUGUGUGUGUGUGUGUGUGUGUGUAGGGGGACCCCCAUGGCAAUCUGGGCCCCUUCUUAGAAUAUUUUUUAAACCCUCACCUUCCGUCUUGGAGUCAAUACUGUGUAGUGGCUCCAAGGCAGAAGAGUUUGGUAAGGGCUAGGCCAUGGGGGUCAAGGGACUUGCCCAGGGUCACCCAGCUGGGAAGUGGCUGAGGUCAAAUUUGAACCCAGGACCUCCCGUCUCUGGCCCUGGCUCUCUAUCCACUGCCCCCCUUCUCAGGAUAUUUUUAAGUGCAUAAGAUCACAAAGGAAAC